UCUGAACCUCCAUCCCACA
RNAcentral lists this microRNA (19 nucleotides) under Callorhinchus milii (elephant shark). RNAcentral's name for it is "eshark_NOVEL_228". Lineage: Eukaryota; Metazoa; Chordata; Chondrichthyes; Chimaeriformes; Callorhinchidae. The record is from RNAcentral.